CGGAACUUCCGUUCUCCGUCCUUUUCGACCCCGACAUCGUGAUCCACACGGCGUGUUCACGUGCUCUCCCAGUGGACACAAUGUCUGGUUGGGCUGCAGAUAGAGGAGGAGGAUGUGCUGAAGGUGCUUUCAGUAGGAACCCACCAGCAAGGAGCUGACCUGGACUUCCAGGUGGAUGAGUGUCCACAAGAGGAAUGUCUGUUUGUACAUUAACGUGAGGAAGACCUGGUGGCAGCCGGGGGACCACACUGCCGUCAGCGAGAACCCAGGGAUCCCCUCCGGGAAUACAGGACAGGGUCUUUCGAGGAUGAGGGGUGCCAUCUCCAGGUAGCUCCCCCUGGGAAAUCAUGCCUGAGAUCUACUUCCACAUGGAUUCAGAGUGUACUGGGGUGCCCAGAAUGCUCUUGAAGGCUGCUCUCCAGCUCCUGCUGCAGACUGCGAGAGUGCUACUUUCUGACUAGUCCGAUCAAACAAAGCACAUGAGAAAUGCACAACGCUGAGAAAUCAAUAAAGUUGGCUGGUUAUUCACACAA
Cyclopterus lumpus (lumpfish) is the source of this 533-nucleotide long non-coding RNA. RefSeq lists it as uncharacterized. The transcript has 5 exons. NCBI's taxonomy places the organism in Eukaryota, Metazoa, Chordata, Actinopteri, Perciformes, Cyclopteridae. The record is from RefSeq and is a predicted model, not a curated record.